RNAcentral lists this ribosomal RNA (164 nucleotides) under Geospiza scandens. Its description in RNAcentral is "5.8S ribosomal RNA". It matches the Rfam family "5.8S ribosomal RNA". From Rfam's summary of the family: 5.8S ribosomal RNA (5.8S rRNA) is a component of the large subunit of the eukaryotic ribosome. It is transcribed by RNA polymerase I as part of the 45S precursor that also contains 18S and 28S rRNA. Lineage: Eukaryota; Metazoa; Chordata; Aves; Passeriformes; Thraupidae. The record is from RNAcentral.
AAAACGACUCUCGGCAACGGAUAUCUCGGCUCUCGCAUCGAUGAAGAACGUAGCGAACUGCGAUACUUGGKGUGAAUUGCAGAAUCCCGUGAACCAUCGAGUCUUUGAACGCAAGUUGCGCCCGAAGCCAUUAGGCCGAGGGCACGUCUGCCUGGGCGUCACGC